CCCUUAGAUGUUCUGGGCCGCACGCGCGCUAUAAUGAUGAAUUCAACGAGUUUAUAACCUUGGUUGAAAAGCCUGGGUAAUCUUUUGAACUUUCGUCGUGAUGGGGCUAGACCCUUGCAAUUAUUGGUCUCCAACGAGGAAUUCCUAGUAAACGCAAGUCAUCAGCUUGCAUUGAUUACGUCCCUGCCCUUUGUACACACCGCCCGUCGCACCUACCGAUUGAAUGGUCCGGUGAAAUCUUCGGACUGUGGCUUUGAUUUGUUAACUCAAAACGCUGUUAUGGGAAGUUGAUUAAACCUUACCAUUUAGAGGAAGGUGAAGUCGUAACA
Molecule: ribosomal RNA, 329 nt
Filed under: uncultured eukaryote
Lineage: Eukaryota
Description: partial 18S ribosomal RNA
Rfam family: Eukaryotic small subunit ribosomal RNA
Source: RNAcentral